AACGCGAAGAACCUUACCAAGGCUUGACAUAUACUGGACCGCAUCAGAGAUGGUGUUUCCCUUCGGGGCUGGUAUACAGGUGGUGCAUGGUUGUCGUCAGCUCGUGUCGUGAGAUGUUGGGUUAAGUCCCGCAACGAGCGCAACCCUCGUUCUAUGUUGCCAGCACGUUAUGGUGGGGACUCAUAGGUGACUGCCGGGGUCAACUCGGAGGAAGGUGGGGAUGACGUCAAAUCAUCAUGCCCCUUAUGUCUUGGGCUUCACGCAUGCUACAAUGGCCGGUACAGAGGGUUGCGAUACUGUGAGGUGGAGCUAAUCCCUAAAAGCCGGUCUCAGUUCGGAUUGGGGUCUGCAACUCGACCCCAUGAAGUCGGAGUCGCUAGUAAUCGCAGAUCAGCA
This 396-nucleotide ribosomal RNA is filed under the name uncultured Rothia sp. Its description in RNAcentral is "bacterial SSU rRNA". It matches the Rfam family "Bacterial small subunit ribosomal RNA", at positions 958 to 1354 of the family's 1533-position model. Lineage: Bacteria; Bacillati; Actinomycetota; Actinomycetes; Micrococcales; Micrococcaceae. The record is from RNAcentral.